AGAGUUUGAUCCUGGCUCAGGAUGAACGCUGGCGGCGUGCCUAAUACAUGCAAGUCGAGCGAACGGACGAGAAGCUUGCUUCUCUGAUGUUAGCGGCGGACGGGUGAGUAACACGUGGAUAACCUACCUAUAAGACUGGGAUAACUUCGGGAAACCGGAGCUAAUACCGGAUAAUAUUUUGAACCGCAUGGUUCAAAAGUGAAAGACGGUCUUGCUGUCACUUAUAGAUGGAUCCGCGCUGCAUUAGCUAGUUGGUAAGGUAACGGCUUACCAAGGCAACGAUGCAUAGCCGACCUGAGAGGGUGAUCGGCCACACUGGAACUGAGACACGGUCCAGACUCCUACGGGAGGCAGCAGUAGGGAAUCUUCCGCAAUGGGCGAANGAGUAACACGUGGAUAACCUACCCAUAAGACUGGGAUAACUUCGGGAAACCGGAGCUAAUACCGGAUAAUAUUUUGAACCGCAUGGUUCAAAAGUGAAAGACGGUCUUGCUGUCACUUAUAGAUGGAUCCGCGCUGCAUUAGCUAGUUGGUAAGGUAACGGCUUACCAAGGCAACGAUGCAUAGCCGACCUGAGAGGGUGAUCGGCCACACUGGAACUGAGACACGGUCCAGACUCCUACGGGAGGCAGCAGUAGGGAAUCUUCCGCAAUGGGCGAAAGCCUGACGGAGCAACGCCGCGUGAGUGAUGAAGGUCUUCGGAUCGUAAAACUCUGUUAUUAGGGAAGAACAUAUGUGUAAGUAACUGUGCACAUCUUGACGGUACCUAAUCAGAAAGCCACGGCUAACUACGUGCCAGCAGCCGCGGUAAUACGUAGGUGGCAAGCGUUAUCCGGAAUUAUUGGGCGUAAAGCGCGCGUAGGCGGUUUUUUAAGUCUGAUGUGAAAGCCCACGGCUCAACCGUGGAGGGUCAUUGGAAACUGGAAAACUUGAGUGCAGAAGAGGAAAGUGGAAUUCCAUGUGUAGCGGUGAAAUGCGCAGAGAUAUGGAGGAACACCAGUGGCGAAGGCGACUUUCUGGUCUGUAACUGACGCUGAUGUGCGAAAGCGUGGGGAUCAAACAGGAUUAGAUACCCUGGUAGUCCACGCCGUAAACGAUGAGUGCUAAGUGUUAGGGGGUUUCCGCCCCUUAGUGCUGCAGCUAACGCAUUAAGCACUCCGCCUGGGGAGUACGACCGCAAGGUUGAAACUCAAAGGAAUUGACGGGGACCCGCACAAGCGGUGGAGCAUGUGGUUUAAUUCGAAGCAACGCGAAGAACCUUACCAAAUCUUGACAUCCUUUGACAACUCUAGAGAUAGAGCNNNNNNGGCGAAGGCGACUUUCUGGUCUGUAACUGACGCUGAUGUGCGAAAGCGUGGGGAUCAAACAGGAUUAGAUACCCUGGUAGUCCACGCCGUAAACGAUGAGUGCUAAGUGUUAGGGGGUUUCCGCCCCUUAGUGCUGCAGCUAACGCAUUAAGCACUCCGCCUGGGGAGUACGACCGCAAGGUUGAAACUCAAAGGAAUUGACGGGGACCCGCACAAGCGGUGGAGCAUGUGGUUUAAUUCGAAGCAACGCGAAGAACCUUACCAAAUCUUGACAUCCUUUGACAACUCUAGAGAUAGAGCCUUCCCCUUCGGGGGACAAAGUGACAGGUGGUGCAUGGUUGUCGUCAGCUCGUGUCGUGAGAUGUUGGGUUAAGUCCCGCAACGAGCGCAACCCUUAAGCUUAGUUGCCAUCAUUAAGUUGGGCACUCUAAGUUGACUGCCGGUGACAAACCGGAGGAAGGUGGGGAUGACGUCAAAUCAUCAUGCCCCUUAUGAUUUGGGCUACACACGUGCUACAAUGGACAAUACAAAGGGCAGCGAAACCGCGAGGUCAAGCAAAUCCCAUAAAGUUGUUCUCAGUUCGGAUUGUAGUCUGCAACUCGACUACAUGAAGCUGGAAUCGCUAGUAAUCGUAGAUCAGCAUGCUACGGUGAAUACGUUCCCGGGUCUUGUACACACCGCCCGUCACACCACGAGAGUUUGUAACACCCGAAGCCGGUGGAGUAACCUUUUAGGAGCUAGCCGUCGAAGGUGGGACAAAUGAUUGGGGUGAAGUCGUAACAAGGUAGCCGUAUCGGAAGGUGCGGCUGGAUCACCU
This 2124-nucleotide ribosomal RNA is filed under the name Staphylococcus aureus. Its description in RNAcentral is "bacterial SSU rRNA". It matches the Rfam family "Bacterial small subunit ribosomal RNA". The record is from RNAcentral. Lineage: Bacteria; Bacillati; Bacillota; Bacilli; Caryophanales; Staphylococcaceae.